RNAcentral lists this ribosomal RNA (486 nucleotides) under uncultured bacterium. Its description in RNAcentral is "partial 16S ribosomal RNA". It matches the Rfam family "Bacterial small subunit ribosomal RNA", at positions 30 to 507 of the family's 1533-position model. The record is from RNAcentral.
AUUGAACGCUGGCGGCAUGCCUUACACAUGCAAGUCGAACGGCAGCACGGGUGCUUGCACCUGGUGGCGAGUGGCGAACGGGUGAGUAAUACAUCGGAACAUGUCCUGUAGUGGGGGAUAGCCCGGCGAAAGCCGGAUUAAUACCGCAUACGAUCUACGGAUGAAAGCGGGGGACCUUCGGGCCUCGCGCUAUAGGGUUGGCCGAUAGCUGAUUAGCUAGUUGGUGGGGUAAAGGCCUACCAAGGCGACGAUCAGUAGCUGGUCUGAGAGGACGACCAGCCACACUGGGACUGAGACACGGCCCAGACUCCUACGGGAGGCAGCAGUGGGUAAUUUUGGACAAUGGGCGAAAGCCUGAUCCAGCAAUGCCGCGUGUGUGAAGAAGGCCUUCGGGUUGUAAAGCACUUUUGUCCGGAAAGAAAUCCUUGGCUCUAAUACAGUCGGGGGAUGACGGUACCGGAAGAAUAAGCACCGGCUAACUACGUG